Molecule: long non-coding RNA, 392 nt
Filed under: Phoenix dactylifera (date palm)
Lineage: Eukaryota; Viridiplantae; Streptophyta; Magnoliopsida; Arecales; Arecaceae
Description: long non-coding RNA (PDAC_LNC017612)
Source: RNAcentral
UCAGAUCCAUUUAGCUGCAGCCGAGUAGGAGAUUGUUGAAGAAAAAACAUUUAUUAAGGUUGGCAAUGGAGAACCUGGCGAUGAUGGCUUGACAGGUUUCAGUAAAAGGAAUCAGUGACAAUUUAUGGAGGUUUGAUCAGGUGGCACCAUUGGGGAGCAUGAGUUGUAUGGGGACAGCUUCAACAAUGGUGAUGGAGCACAGUGCAGUGCGAGGAUGGCAGGUUCCGAGUCAGAGGACUGAAGAUAUUGGAAGGCUGCCUAUGAGAAGUGUAGGAUGGAUAUUAAUGGGCACUGGUGAUGUGAAAGGAUGAACCACCAUGGCUGUGGUGGGACCUCAAAGGGAAGAGAAGGGGGAGCAAGAGGCAGAGGAGCAAAAUUUGUGGUCAGACAAU